RNAcentral lists this ribosomal RNA (2445 nucleotides) under human oral metagenome. Its description in RNAcentral is "bacterial LSU rRNA". It matches the Rfam family "Bacterial large subunit ribosomal RNA", at positions 14 to 2471 of the family's 2925-position model. The record is from RNAcentral.
AGGGCGCACGGUGGAUGCCUUGGUACUAGGAGCCGAAGAAGGACGGAACUAACACCGAUAUGCUUUGGGGAGCUGUAAGUAAGCUAAGAUCCAAAGAUUUCCGAAUGGGGGAACCCAACACCUUUCAUAGGGUGUUACCAAUGAGUGAAUACAUAGCUCAUUAGGAGGUACACGCAGGGAACUGAAACAUCUCAUUACCUGCAGGAAGAGAAAGAAAAAUCGAUUCCCUGAGUAGCGGCGAGCGAAACGGGAGGAGCCCAAACCAACGAGCUUGCUUGUUGGGGUUGUAGGACUAGAACGUGAGAAGAAAUCAAGAUAGCAGAAGUGGUCUGGAAAGGCCCAUCAAAGAAGGUGACAAUCCUGUACGCGACAUCUUGAUGAACUCUACUAGCAUCCUGAGUACGGCGGGACACGAGGAAUCCCGUCGGAAUCCGCCAGGACCAUCUGGCAAGGCUAAAUACUACCUAGUGACCGAUAGUGAACCAGUACCGUGAGGGAAAGGUGAAAAGAACCCCGGGAGGGGAGUGAAAGAGUACCUGAAACCGUGUGCUUACAAGUAGUCAGAGCCCGUUAAUGGGUGAUGGCGUGCCUUUUGUAGAAUGAACCGGCGAGUUACGUUUACAUGCGAGGUUAAGAUGAAGAGUCGGAGCCGUAGCGAAAGCGAGUCUGAAUAGGGCGCAUGUAGUAUGUGGACGUAGACCCGAAACCAAGUGAUCUACCCAUGUCCAGGUUGAAGGUGCGGUAAAACGCACUGGAGGACCGAACCAGGGCACGUUGAAAAGUGCUUGGAUGACUUGUGGGUAGCGGAGAAAUUCCAAACGAACUUGGAGAUAGCUGGUUCUCUCCGAAAUAGCUUUAGGGCUAGCGUCGACAUUAAGAUUCUUGGAGGUAGAGCACUGUUUGGGUGAGGGGUCCAUCCCGGAUUACCAAUCUCAGAUAAACUCCGAAUGCCAAUGAAUUAUGGUCGGCAGUCAGACUGCGAGUGCUAAGAUCCGUAGUCGAAAGGGAAACAGCCCAGACCACCAGCUAAGGUCCCAAAAUAAUUGUUAAGUGGAAAAGGAUGUGGGGUUGCACAGACAACUAGGAUGUUAGCUUAGAAGCAGCUAUUCAUUCAAAGAGUGCGUAAUAGCUCACUAGUCGAGUGACCCUGCGCCGAAAAUGUACCGGGGCUAAAACAAUUUACCGAAGCUGUGGAUACCUUUAUAGGUAUGGUAGGAGAGCGUUCUAUGUGUGAUGAAGGUGUACCGUGAGGAGUGCUGGAACGCAUAGAAGUGAGAAUGCCGGUAUGAGUAGCGAAAGACAGGUGAGAAUCCUGUCCACCGUAAGACUAAGGUUUCCAGGGGAAGGCUCGUCCGCCCUGGGUUAGUCGGGACCUAAGGAGAGACCGAAAGGUGUAUCCGAUGGACAACAGGUUGAUAUUCCUGUACUAGAGUAUGUAGUGAUGGAGGGACGCAGUAGGCUAACUAAAGCAGACGAAUGGAAGUGUCUGUCUAAGCAGUGAGGUGUGAAUUGAGUUAAAUGCUUAGUUCUAUAACAUUGAGCUGUGAUGGGGAGCGAAGUUUAGUAGCGAAGUUAGUGACGUCACACUGCCAAGAAAAGCUUCUAGCGUUAAACAUACUCUACCCGUACCGCAAACCGACACAGGUAGUCGAGGCGAGUAGCCUCAGGUGAGCGAGAGAACUCUCGUUAAGGAACUCGGCAAAAUGACCCCGUAACUUCGGGAGAAGGGGUGCUGGUAGCAAUACCAGCCGCAGUGAAUAGGCCCAGGCGACUGUUUAUCAAAAACACAGGUCUCUGCAAAAUCGAAAGAUGACGUAUAGGGGCUGACGCCUGCCCGGUGCUGGAAGGUUAAGAGGAGAGGUUAGCCGCAAGGCGAAGCUUUGAAUUGAAGCCCCAGUAAACGGCGGCCGUAACUAUAACGGUCCUAAGGUAGCGAAAUUCCUUGUCGGGUAAGUUCCGACCCGCACGAAAGGCGUAACGAUUUGGGCACUGUCUCAACGAUGGACUCGGUGAAAUCAUAGUACCUGUGAAGAUGCAGGUUACCCGCGACAGGACGGAAAGACCCCAUGGAGCUUUACUGUAGUUUGAUAUUGAGUGUUUGUGUCACAUGUACAGGAUAGGUAGGAGCUGAAGAAUCCGGGACGCCAGUUUCGGAGGAGGCAACGGUGGGAUACUACCCUUGUGACAUGACCACUCUAACCCGCACCCCUAACCGGGGUGGGAGACAGUGUCAGACGGGCAGUUUGACUGGGGCGGUCGCCUCCUAAAAUGUAACGGAGGCGCCCAAAGGUUCCCUCAGAAUGGUUGGAAAUCAUUCGAAGAGUGUAAAGGCAGAAGGGAGCUUGACUGCGAGACCUACAAGUCGAGCAGGGACGAAAGUCGGGCUUAGUGAUCCGGUGGUACCGUAUGGAAGGGCCAUCGCUCAACGGAUAAAAGCUACCCUGG